This 374-nucleotide ribosomal RNA is filed under the name uncultured bacterium. Its description in RNAcentral is "bacterial SSU rRNA". It matches the Rfam family "Bacterial small subunit ribosomal RNA", at positions 524 to 898 of the family's 1533-position model. The record is from RNAcentral.
UACGAGAGGCCCAAACGUUAUUCGGAAUCACUGGGCUUAAAGAGUUCGUAGGCGGCGCGGAAAGUGGGGUGUGAAAGCCCUCGGCUCAACCGAGGAAUUGCGCUCCAAACUGUCGCGCUUGAGGAAGCUAGAGGUAAGCAGAACUGAUGGUGGAGCGGUGAAAUGCGUUGAUAUCAUCAGGAAUACCGGAGGCGAAGGCGGCUUACUGGGACUUUUCUGACGCUGAGGAACGAAAGCUAGGGGAGCAAACGGGAUUAGAUACCCCGGUAGUCCUAGCCGUAAACGGUGAGCACUGGACCGAGGGCCUGCACAGGCCCCCGGUCGUAGCGAAAGUGUUAAGUGCUCCGCCUGGGGAGUAUGGUCGCAAGGCUGAA